Rhinopithecus roxellana (golden snub-nosed monkey) is the source of this 614-nucleotide long non-coding RNA. RefSeq lists it as uncharacterized. The transcript has 3 exons. Lineage: Eukaryota; Metazoa; Chordata; Mammalia; Primates; Cercopithecidae. The record is from RefSeq and is a predicted model, not a curated record.
UAGCCAGGCUGGUCUCAAUGUCGUGGCUUCAAGUGAUCUCCCCGCCUUGGCCUCCUGAGCAGCUGAAAGUAUGCGUGGGACCACUGCCCCUGGCUCAAGUUCCACAGACCCUCAUGGCGCCUCUAGCCUCUACUGACCGUGGUCCUGGCAACCUGUGCGGGCCAUGGGGAAGGUCCUGACAGCCUGCGCGGAUGGUGGGGAAGGGCGUCUGCGUCCAUGAGGCUGGGGCUCCAGCAGCCCCUCUUCUUGGCUCUCAGCCUGAGAAAAAGGUGGCAAGGGGAAAUCGUUCAAGCCUCCCGGGUUCACAUCUGCAGGGUAUGUACACUAGCAACACAGCAGAACACAGAGAGACUUGGAAGCUUGUCUUCAGAGACAGUAAGUAUAUUUUUCCUGGUGAGAGAAUCAGUGCCCUACAACUACCUCUGUUCCACUUUCUUCAGUAGCCAUAGACCCUCUGAUGAGGACACCCCUCCAACAGGCACCACCAGGCAGCCCUGCCUCAAGACCCAGAGGCACCAAGUCACAUCAGCUCUGCAGCUCUGCAGACCUGGCUCUCGCUUGAUGUGGGCCUGUGUACUCCAGCCCAGAACAUGAAAGAAGACAUCCAUGCAAAU